RNAcentral lists this ribosomal RNA (1490 nucleotides) under Helicobacter pylori UMB_G1. RNAcentral's name for it is "bacterial SSU rRNA". It matches the Rfam family "Bacterial small subunit ribosomal RNA". Lineage: Bacteria; Pseudomonadati; Campylobacterota; Epsilonproteobacteria; Campylobacterales; Helicobacteraceae. The record is from RNAcentral.
GAGUUUGAUCCUGGCUCAGAGUGAACGCUGGCGGCGUGCCUAAUACAUGCAAGUCGAACGAUGAAGCUUCUAGCUUGCUAGAGUGCUGAUUAGUGGCGCACGGGUGAGUAACGCAUAGGUUAUGUGCCUCUUAGUUUGGGAUAGCCAUUGGAAACGAUGAUUAAUACUAGAUACUCCCUACGGGGGAAAGAUUUAUCGCUAAGAGAUCAGCCUAUGUCCUAUCAGCUUGUUGGUAAGGUAAUGGCUUACCAAGGCUAUGACGGGUAUCCGGCCUGAGAGGGUGAACGGACACACUGGAACUGAGACACGGUCCAGACUCCUACGGGAGGCAGCAGUAGGGAAUAUUGCUCAAUGGGGGAAACCCUGAAGCAGCAACGCCGCGUGGAGGAUGAAGGUUUUAGGAUUGUAAACUCCUUUUGUUAGAGAAGAUAAUGACGGUAUCUAACGAAUAAGCACCGGCUAACUCCGUGCCAGCAGCCGCGGUAAUACGGAGGGUGCAAGCGUUACUCGGAAUCACUGGGCGUAAAGAGCGCGUAGGCGGGAUAGUCAGUCAGGUGUGAAAUCCUAUGGCUUAACCAUAGAACUGCAUUUGAAACUACUAUUCUAGAGUGUGGGAGAGGUAGGUGGAAUUCUUGGUGUAGGGGUAAAAUCCGUAGAGAUCAAGAGGAAUACUCAUUGCGAAGGCGACCUGCUGGAACAUUACUGACGCUGAUUGCGCGAAAGCGUGGGGAGCAAACAGGAUUAGAUACCCUGGUAGUCCACGCCCUAAACGAUGGAUGCUAGUUGUUGGAGGGCUUAGUCUCUCCAGUAAUGCAGCUAACGCAUUAAGCAUCCCGCCUGGGGAGUACGGUCGCAAGAUUAAAACUCAAAGGAAUAGACGGGGACCCGCACAAGCGGUGGAGCAUGUGGUUUAAUUCGAAGAUACACGAAGAACCUUACCUAGGCUUGACAUUGAGAGAAUCCGCUAGAAAUAGUGGAGUGUCUGGCUUGCUAGACCUUGAAAACAGGUGCUGCACGGCUGUCGUCAGCUCGUGUCGUGAGAUGUUGGGUUAAGUCCCGCAACGAGCGCAACCCCCUUUCUUAGUUGCUAACAGGUUAUGCUGAGAACUCUAAGGAUACUGCCUCCGUAAGGAGGAGGAAGGUGGGGACGACGUCAAGUCAUCAUGGCCCUUACGCCUAGGGCUACACACGUGCUACAAUGGGGUGCACAAAGAGAAGCAAUACUGCGAAGUGGAGCCAAUCUUCAAAACACCUCUCAGUUCGGAUUGUAGGCUGCAACUCGCCUGCAUGAAGCUGGAAUCGCUAGUAAUCGCAAAUCAGCCAUGUUGCGGUGAAUACGUUCCCGGGUCUUGUACUCACCGCCCGUCACACCAUGGGAGUUGUGUUUGCCUUAAGUCAGGAUGCUAAAUUGGCUACUGCCCACGGCACACACAGCGACUGGGGUGAAGUCGUAACAAGGUAACCGUAGGUGAACCUGCGGUUGGAUCACC